This is a long non-coding RNA of Chinchilla lanigera (long-tailed chinchilla), 930 nucleotides long. RefSeq lists it as uncharacterized. The record is from RefSeq and is a predicted model, not a curated record. The transcript has 3 exons. NCBI's taxonomy places the organism in Eukaryota, Metazoa, Chordata, Mammalia, Rodentia, Chinchillidae.
CUCUGCUGUUUCCUCUGUGAGUACUAUGUGUGAUGCCAGAAACCUGAGCCAGAAUACCCAGGUCCUGACCAACAGCAACUCUAAGGCAAUAAAUGUUAAUUAUUGCCUUAAGCUGCCCAGUCUGGAGCUCGGAGACAGCCCCCUGUGUAAGAUGAUGAGUGUGAUUAAUUGCAAUCAGCUCCUUUCCACAUAAUGAGGAAGCUGGAUGUCAUCUUGUGGCUUCUGUCCAAGUUGAUGCAGUUACCCUUUAUGUCCACAGGAUGCCGCUAUCGAUCAUACUUUGACUAUGCAGCCAAGCCAAGGAUGCUCAAGCUUUAUAACCUGUGUUUUUUUUAUGGACUAGCAUCCUGGGAUGUCUUUUCAGGCCAACAGAUAGAAAGACUUCACCUCCACUGAGGUUAUGCCCCCUGUGGCGUUCUUAGCUGGUGGUUAAUAAUUCGCCCUCUCUCUAAUCAGCGGUGAAAACGACCAGGCUGGAGCUGGACGUCAAGCCUUGGGCACCUGAAGAAGACCGAAGACCAGCAAGGCAUAUAGAUGUUCCAGAAGGACACUAGGUCUCAAAAGAUCCUUAGGAUUCCCUUAAACAUGUGGACCUCAGAGGGCAGGGCACAGUACCAGGGAGGACAGAUGCAUAGAGGGCAAAGCAACCUGGAAGAGGGGGUGCAAAUGUGCAGAGCUCACAACCUGGGGGUGGGAGCAGGCCUCAGGGGAAAAUAGACUCCAGCCAGUGGAACAGGUUAAGGGCUCAGGGUCACAUAAGAUCCUGGCUCUGUUCCCUACCAGCUGGGACCACUGAACAGAGCAAUGGGCCUCAUAGCAUCACCUGCAAAACCAAUAAUGGCUACAAAUGAUGCUGCUGCAAGUUUAAGGGUGCAAUGAAAGAAUCUAGAAAUUAUAGGAAGUGUUUCAUGGCUGCCGCUUUUAUAAUCA